GGGUGACAAGAAGCCUUCCGAGCCCAAAGCCAUGCCAGACCUCAAUGGGAUCCUUUCCCAGAGCCCUCCAUGGAGAAAACAGCAAAAUGAAGCCCUUACCUGCUUGCUGUCUGCAAGGGAGGGAGCCGAGCCCCAGCUGAUAAUCCCCCAGCACUCACCCUUCCUGAGCUGAGACUUCAGGGCUGUGGAGACCAGCACAGGACAUAGUGGUGCUUUUUAAAUUUAUUUUUAACUGUUUCUCAUAUGUAGCAACCCCUCCUCCCCUCCUGGGCGUGUUUACACAGGCUCUGCUCUGGGGGCUGGCCUGGCUGUGAGGUUUCUGGGGAGGCAGAGAGGCAGGGACUUUGGGGCCUUAGUCACCAUCCAUGGUAUCACCUCAUCUCACUUCCUGUGAGGGGCAGGGCCUGGCUGAUGUGACCCCAGCUCCCCCCAGUUCAGGACUGUCUUCCAGCUCCUUUGCCCCUGGAGGUGGGGGCUGCUGGCUGAGGAGGGGUCAAGGUGAGUUCCAAGAAAGCUACCUGUGGAAAAUAGACCAGGGUUGGGGGGGUGAUUGCAAAGUCUCCCCAAAGCCUGGCUCCUCAUGCUCAGUGCCAGGGGCAGAACACUGGGGAGCCAGGUAUAGACAGCCUUCCUGUCAUAACUGCCAGUCCUUUUCCUCCAAGGCCUCUGCACAUUCUCAUGUUCCCCUCACCCAUCAUGCCAGCCACCCCAUCCCUCUUCUG
RNAcentral lists this long non-coding RNA (722 nucleotides) under Pongo abelii (Sumatran orangutan). Its description in RNAcentral is "lincRNA". Lineage: Eukaryota; Metazoa; Chordata; Mammalia; Primates; Hominidae. The record is from RNAcentral.